RNAcentral lists this transfer RNA (72 nucleotides) under Camelus bactrianus (Bactrian camel). It matches the Rfam family "tRNA". Rfam says of the family: Transfer RNA (tRNA) molecules are approximately 80 nucleotides in length. Their secondary structure includes four short double-helical elements and three loops (D, anti-codon, and T loops). The record is from Rfam by way of RNAcentral. Lineage: Eukaryota; Metazoa; Chordata; Mammalia; Artiodactyla; Camelidae. RNAcentral also lists the same sequence under 2 other names.
GAGGGUAUAGCUCAGUGGUAGGGUGCAUGUUUAGCAUGCACGAGGUCCUGGGUUCCAUCCCCAGUCACCCCA